Molecule: long non-coding RNA, 796 nt
Filed under: Pan troglodytes (chimpanzee)
Lineage: Eukaryota; Metazoa; Chordata; Mammalia; Primates; Hominidae
Description: lincRNA
Source: RNAcentral
ACAUGAACAAGAUUUUCUGAAAGACUGCUAUGGAGUCUGAGAAAAAAUGUCAAAGAUUGAGGACAUGAAGAGGAAAGAACUGACAGAGGAGGUGAAGAAAGGUGAUCAGGAAGAGCCAUCAAAGUGUUAUCCUGGAAUUCAAGUGAAGACAGUGUUUCAAAGUGGAAAUGAACAGUGUCCUGUAACCCUCAGAGUGAGACUAGAGUCAGAAUGCAAGCUUUUCUCAUUUGAAAUCUCAGGGUAAGUCCAGGUCCUUACCUCCACCUAAAAGUUCUGCCAUCAAGGAACAUCUGCUCAUUAUCUUCUGUCCACACAUCAAAUGACUUCAAUGUGAUCCCUGGAUGUUCUCCAAAGAGCUGAAAGGAAAUAAAUAUUCUUUCUUUAUCACCAAAUACUUCAAAUGCAGAGUGGUUGUGCUACCAAGGCCUGAAACUUCGGAAAAACCUGCAUAACACAAAAUAUAUAUGCCACAGAGAGGAUCCAGAGAGCUCAUCUCCGGUCAGUUAUCUGUAUUUGCAUGUCAACUACAGCAUCAAAAAGCAUAGGCAUGGAUACUAAGGACCCCCUCUGUACACCAACGCCAGUCCAAAGGAUAGUGUGUCACUGUGAACUGGAAAUUCAUCUCUCUUCUUCAUUUUUUUUCUACCUACUUUAUGCUUUAUCUCUAAGUUGAGGCUGUUUAUGGCCUCAUCCUCAAUUACCUUGUCCCUCAUUACUCCCAGUUAAUGGAGAUUAAGCUUUGUAUCAUGACUUCCUAACUAAAACUGAAAUCACAAGACAUCACAUAAAUAAAGUU